CCUACGGGGGGCAGCAAUCAGGAAUCUUGCGCAAUGGGCGAAAGCCUGACGCAGCGACGCCGCGUGGGUGAUGAAGUCUUUCGGGAUGUAAAGCCCUUUUAAACGGGAAGAUGAUGACGGUACCGUUUGAAUAAGCCCCGGCUAACUACGUGCCAGCAGCCGCGGUAAUACGUAGGGGGCGAGCGUUGUCCGGAAUUACUGGGCGUAAAGGGCGCGUAGGCGGCCCCGCGGGGGGAGACCCCCGCCUUUUAAGUCCGCUGUGAAAGACCGGGGCUCAACCCCGGGGCGUCAGCGGAGACUGGGGGGCUGGAGGCCUGCAGAGGAGUGCGGAAUUCCUGGUGUAGCGGUGGAAUGCGUAGAGAUCAGGAGGAACACCGAUGGCGAAGGCAGCACUCUGGGCGGGACCUGACGCUGAGGCGCGAAAGCUGGGGGAGCGAACG
RNAcentral lists this ribosomal RNA (440 nucleotides) under uncultured bacterium. RNAcentral describes it as "partial 16S ribosomal RNA". It matches the Rfam family "Bacterial small subunit ribosomal RNA", at positions 338 to 774 of the family's 1533-position model. The record is from RNAcentral.